UAGGGAAUAUUGCGCAAUGAGCGAAAGCUUGACGCAGCCAUGCCGCGUGAGUGAUGAAGGCCUUCGGGUCGUAAAGCUCUUUUCUGAGGGAAGAACGGCCGGUGCAGGCAAUGGCGCCGGAUUGACGGUACCUCAGGAAUAAGGAACGGCUAACUCCGUGCCAGCAGCCGCGGUAAUACGGAGGUUCCAAGCGUUGUUCGGAAUUACUGGGCGUAAAGGGAGCGCAGGUGGGCGGUCCAGUCCAAAGUGGAAGCCCGGGGCUUAACCCCGGAAGGGCUUUGGAUACUAGCCGUCUUGAGUACGCGAGAGGAAGGCGGAAUUCAGGGUGUAGCGGUGAAAUGCUUAGAUAUCCUGAGGAACACCGGUGCGAAAGCGGCCUUCUGGCGCGAAACUGACACU
This 399-nucleotide ribosomal RNA is filed under the name uncultured bacterium. RNAcentral describes it as "bacterial SSU rRNA". It matches the Rfam family "Bacterial small subunit ribosomal RNA", at positions 355 to 747 of the family's 1533-position model. The record is from RNAcentral.